Molecule: transfer RNA, 77 nt
Filed under: Candidatus Dojkabacteria bacterium
Lineage: Bacteria
Description: tRNA-Val
Rfam family: tRNA
About the family: Transfer RNA (tRNA) molecules are approximately 80 nucleotides in length. Their secondary structure includes four short double-helical elements and three loops (D, anti-codon, and T loops). Further hydrogen bonds mediate the characteristic L-shaped molecular structure. tRNAs have two regions of fundamental functional importance: the anti-codon, which is responsible for specific mRNA codon recognition, and the 3' end, to which the tRNAs corresponding amino acid is attached (by aminoacyl-tRNA synthetases). tRNAs cope with the degeneracy of the genetic code in two manners: having more than one tRNA (with a specific anti-codon) for a particular amino acid; and 'wobble' base-pairing, i.e. permitting non-standard base-pairing at the 3rd anti-codon position.
Source: RNAcentral
GGGUGCUUAGCUCAACUGGCUAGAGCAUCUCGUUUACACCGAGAAGGUUUGGGGUUCGAGUCCCUAAGCACCCACCA